Molecule: long non-coding RNA, 5289 nt
Organism: Pseudoliparis swirei
Lineage: Eukaryota; Metazoa; Chordata; Actinopteri; Perciformes; Liparidae
Exons: 2
Source: RefSeq, a predicted model, not a curated record
GUAGAAAAUGUAUCAACAGCUGUCUCUCCCAUCUGUCUAUGGGAGAUAAUCUAAUCCUGUGUGGGGUCAUGUGAAAAGGUCACUUCCUGUGUUGAGGGGAGGCAGAAUAAACAAACCUUCAGGGGCCUCCUAUUACUUAUCGAGUGGUAACAGAUGGGCUCUGGAAUGUGUACGUCUCGGCGAUGUGUAUAAGAAGAGACGAGUCGACGAAGAAGGCAGCAUUAAGUCAGAAACUUCUCAUAAGGAGGGUUCAGACUUUGCUCCACUCAGCUGGGUGUUUCCAUGACUUGUUUGAUGUGAUUACUUAUUUGUUCCAUGACUUAUUUGUCUAGUUGAAUCACUUGUCCACUUGUUUGUACCUGGCUCACAUUCUGAUCAUUUGUGAACUUGUUACUAUAUAAUAAAGUGUGAUAAGACCACCGUGUUUAGAAUACUUUUGAUUUCUCACAAGGCAUCGGAACAUUUAUUCCACCACAAAUGGCGACGAGGAUGCGAUGGACGCGCUUGACGGGGACUCCGGCUGAACGGCAGAUGGCCAUAAUAUAGAUGAAUCCUCCCCCGAGGGUGAGAAGCUGCCGUUCAGACGGAGACCGGACGGCCGAUCCAAUCUAGUUGAAGUAACAACGAAAAACACGCGGUGAGAGAUUAAGAUUAUUUUGAGAUCAAUCAAGUCAUGAAAAUGGAAAUUGGAAAUUUUUAAAAGAAAAAUCUCACAAUCAGAUGUUGUUAACAGACGUGUUUUGAAAACUGUUGGGUUCUCUAGUGGUUUGUAGGCACCAAUUUGGCGCACACUUCUCAGGGAAAACAGUUAGCAGUUUUUAGAGAUAGCAGCGGUCGCUUACUUGCCUUAGUCAUCCAUGUGUAUUGUUUGAAAUUUUGUAUAGAAAAUUUAUUGACGCACACUGCGACAUAAUACACGAAUGAUUAGAGAUGUGUAGUGCUCAGAGUAAGAGUGAGACCGUUGAGAGCCAUGUGGUCCCCAUCCUUCCGCCUCUGUGUAAGUUUAUGUCUGAUCGAUAUCCUGGAAGCUGGGAUCAAAUGCAAAAGUGGAUAGAGAUUGGUUUUCCAUCAAACGGAAGUUUGAGUGAAAAUCAAUUACAACAGUUGGAGGUAUCACUGGGGGAAAUGGAGAGGAACGCAACAGCUCAGCAUGCAGCCUUAUCAAAAAAAAAAAAAAAAAAAAACUUACGAAGAAUGUUAACAAGUGUCAUUGCAUUCACCCAAAUACUGUGUAUUGUUGUCUUUCUGAGAUACUGAGAGAAUCGGUGGCUCCAGACCUGGAUUCCGCCCCCCCCCCUUUUGCUCCGCCAGCCUGCUUGCAGCAGCCUUCUCAGUCAAAUGCAGCUUCACCGGACACAGUCCAAGAGGGACACAGACUCUGGAACAAUGCAAAGACCAUCUGAAAGAGCGUUUCGUGAGCGGGACGAGACCAAACUCCUGCAGAUGGUGAGAAAAUCAUAUGUUCCACUAACAGAUGUCCUAAAGCACGCUGAACAUGCUAAGGCGGAGUUGCACAGAAAAGAGAUGCUUGCAAUGAUCAACACGCUCGCAAGGCAACUACGGAAUAUUCCCACAUGGCAACUUGGGAGGACAAGAGGUCGAGGCAGAGGCAGAAUGGAUCUGAAGAUAUGAUUCAAGAGUGUGCUACAACUGCGGAGGGCAUGGACACUGGCGAACAGAGUGUCCGGAGCCCAAAAAGGAAGACCCGCUUUCGACACGGCUGAGCGGAGGGAGGCGGGGGAGGGGCGGAUCCCAGAGACGGACAACCCUCUCCAGGACAAACAAGGGAAACUGUUCCUUGGAACCACUCCUCACGUAUCAUUGGCUAAACCGUCACACUGGAAAUGGCAGGAUCUGGGUCCGUGGCUACAACAACGUAUCAACCUCUUGGACUUUAGACCAGCUGCAGAAGAUUCGAGGAUCGAAUUUAGCGCGAUUGGUGAUGUAUUUCGUAUUGCAUUGACCGACACAGUACAUGUACGGAGAACGUUAGAGCUCACAGAAGAACACAUUGAACAUACAAGCUUGUAUCCACUCAUUAUGACAACAGGUCAAAUUCCUGAGUUGUCAAAAGUGCCACCUUCACUGUGGGCUGCACACAAAUACGAUGUGGGGCUCAUAAAAGGCGCAGCACCAUUGGUAGUGAGUCCUAAAUCAGAUUAUAGGCCAUGCCUAAAACAGUAUCCAAAAAAAAAAAAAAAAAGAAGCCAUCGAUGGUAUAAGACCAGUUUUUGAAUCCCUUUUAAAAGAGAGGCAUCCCUCUCAUCCAUGGUCCAUGGUAGAAACCUUAGUGCACAUGACUGACUGACUUAGACUAUAAAAGCAAAAGACAGAAGAGAACUUAAAGACUUCCUUACUACAGGCCCGACCGGGGCCUGCCGAGACCAAACUUGAUAUGUAUUUUAUACAUAGACCGAAAUGACUGUUACAUGAACUCCAGUUGUGUCAGCCUCAUGGAGGAAAACUUAGGCCUGUGUCCGACUUCUCCUCGACACAUGACUUGUUGUCACAGGUCUUCCUCUCUGUUGCAGCAGCUGGAGAAGCCAUGGAUUAACAUCACGGGACAUUGUGGGCUAUUCUGAUGUCACACUUAUAGUCCCGCAUGCAGUUUCCCACAUCUUCCAUGCCAGAAGACUUCUCACCUCUCUGCUCAGAGAUGGUUCAGAUAUCAUGUUGGAAUAGCGUGACAUUACGGUAAAACGCUGCGAUGAACUUAACUCAACUACACUUCUUCCGACUGCAGAUGAUGGAGAGCCUCAUGAUCGUGUCCAGGUAUUGCAACAGACAUGCAUCCCGAGACCUGAUCUGUUGGACACACCUCCUUCCAAUGCAGAUUCAAGCUAUCUGUAGCUAUCCAGCUCACCCACAACGGGGCAGCGGUCAGGUUGUAUGUUACAUCACACACUUGUUGGUGUCAGGCUUACUGCACACCGAUCAGUACAAGCAGCAGAGCUGAUUGCACUCACAGGGGAAUGUAAGGUAGCUAAAAAGGUAAAACUAACAAUUACACAGGUUCACUUCAUGUAUCUGGAACGUACAUGACCUUGGGCCUCUGUGGAAGACACAGAGGAUUUCUAACAGUGGCAAACCUAUCACACCACACGGUGGGGUUCAGCUGUUUUCAGUCGUUAAAUGGGAAGCUCACAUCUCUUCUUUUGACCUGUGUCAAUAGUAAACAUAGUGGCAGAUCUGGUGGCAAAGGCGGCAGCCUUAUCAGGCACCCCUUUUCCCCACAUAGACUGAUUCCAGUCCUUAGGCAGAUCUUUCCACAAUUCAUUCUUUUGCCAAUGCCCAGGAGCGCUCCCUAUGGAACGCUCUGGUGCCACUCUUUGAGUCGAGGGUUUGACAGCCCAGACGGCAAGCCUUGUUUGCCACGCGCUCUCUUCCAUACUUCUGGAUUUUCUCAUGGAGGAGACCACGUGGGCAAAGGGGGAAUGGGUAAUGCUCUAAAUGCAAGUUCAUACACCAGAGCAUUUUCAACAUUUGCAAUAAAUAACAACAGCAGGGUCACCGCCCUGCAGAUACACUUUGUGAACAGUUAGUAAUGUAUUUUAAAUCUCACAGUAUUUAGGUUUUAACAUCAGACAUCAUUGUUCUUAUCAUCCUCAGUCAGCUGGUGCGGUUGAACGAGAAAAUGGUACCAUUAAAUCUAAACUGGCGAAAUGUUGUGAAGAGACAGGCCUAUCUUGGGUGAAAGCACUUCCGCUGGUGCUUUUUCACAUGCGCAUGCGAAUCAGGAACAAACAUGGCCUCAGCCCUUUUGAGAUAGUGCUCGGGAGACCCCCUUGCACUGGGCUGGGUCCAGUAAGACAUGCUUGACGACUGAUCAUAAUGAAGACAGCAUGCUAAGAUAUUGUGCUAAUCUCUCAUCCUCACUCUCAGCACUUCACACACAGGUGAAAGCUGCACUUCCCUCACCAGCCACUGCGAUCCAGCAUCACCUGAAACCAGGAGACUGGGUGCUCAUCAAGGAUCACAGGAGAAAGCAUUGGAAGCAGAGACGCUACAUGGGUCCCUUCCAAGUACUCCUGACCACAGAGACGGCGGUGAAAGUGGAAGGAAAAGCAACGUGGGUCCACGCCAGCCACUGAAAACGCAUCCCAAACCCAGAGGGAGAAGGAGCAGCUGCUACGGGUCCGGACUAAAGGGGAAGGGUGAGAAAAGCGAGCGCCUUCCUCCAUCAAGUAGUGUGCCAAGCUACCGACAAGCGCACCAUUAGCAGUGACGUAACCAAGCACCUCACUCAUUUUAUGUGGCUGGGAAGAGAGAGGAGGGGAGCAAGCCCGUAGUUUCUCAAACCGCAAAGCUGUCAUAUAUAAAUCAGUGUGGUAGGAGGCGAAAUCAUGUGCGAAGGUGUAGCCACCCAAGAAGCAGCAGCGAUGGAAGAAAGAUCUCCAGCAUCACGACCCCCCUUUAAGAAGCAUGGGUGCAGCCAGAGCAAAAGCAUCCACUCACUACUCUUUCUAACCAAAAUAGCAAUUAUCUUGUUCCUUAUCUAUAAAUUGCAAUCACAUAACAUAGACGGCAAAGAUACUAGCCCUUUCCAUCUCUCCAGGAAGUGGCAGGAAGGGAAAAAAGUUUUCCACUGCCCAGCUGAACAAUGUGAUGCGAACAAUUGUUCACUCUCCUCAAUAGAGAAUGAUACUUGGGUUAAUGUUGAGGACAAUGUUUAAGCAAGCAAUGUAUUUACACAGUAGAUUUAGCAAACCAUAAUCAAUUUUGUAUGUACUUCGUUGAGGUUGAUGAUGUGAUGUUUUGAAAUCUUUGUGAAUCUACACCACGGAUGUAUGCUCUAAGAAUGUUUUAACAUUUUGUUACUAUUUUUUUUCAGUUAAAUUGUCAAAAAUGACAAAAAGAGGGGAUUGUUGGAGUAGAAAAUGUAUCAACAGCUGUCUCUCCCAUCUGUCUAUGGGAGAUAAUCUAAUCCUGUGUGGGGUCAUGUGAAAAGGUCACUUCCUGUGUUGAGGGGAGGCAGAAUAAACAAACCUUCAGGGGUCUCCUAUUACUUAUCGAGUGGUAACAGAUGGGCUCUGGAAUGUGUACGUCUCGGCGAUGUGUAUAAGAAGAGACGAGUCGACGAAGAAGGCAGCAUUAAGUCAGAAACUUCUCAUAAGGAGGGUUCAGACUUUGCUCCACUCAGCUGGGUGUUUCCAUGACUUGUUUGAUGUGAUUACUUAUUUGUUCCAUGACUUAUUUGUCUAGUUGAAUCACUUGUCCACUUGUUUGUACCUGGCUCACAUUCUGAUCAUUUGUGAACUUGUUACUAUAUAAUAAAGUGUGAUAAGACCA